This 59-nucleotide ribosomal RNA is filed under the name Lactobacillus sp. LS7. RNAcentral describes it as "partial 23S ribosomal RNA". The record is from RNAcentral. Lineage: Bacteria; Bacillati; Bacillota; Bacilli; Lactobacillales; Lactobacillaceae.
UUAUCGCUAAACUCAUUAAUCGCAUUUACCGUUAGGUAAAUGAGGUUAAGUUAACAAGG